Molecule: ribosomal RNA, 504 nt
Filed under: uncultured Chitinophagaceae bacterium
Lineage: Bacteria; Pseudomonadati; Bacteroidota; Chitinophagia; Chitinophagales; Chitinophagaceae
Description: bacterial SSU rRNA
Rfam family: Bacterial small subunit ribosomal RNA
Source: RNAcentral
AGAGUUUGAUCCUGGCUCAGGAUGAACGCUAGCGGCAGGCUUAAUACAUGCAAGUCGAGGGGCAGCACAGGUAGCAAUACUGGGUGGCGACCGGCAAACGGGUGCGGAACACGUACGCAACCUUCCUUUAAGUGAGGAAUAGCCCAGGGAAACUUGGAUUUAAUACCUCGUAAUAUUUUUGGGUGGCAUCACCUGAUAAUUAUAGCUCCGGCGCUUAAAGAUGGGCGUGCGCCUGAUUAGGUAGUUGGCGGGGUAACGGCCCACCAAGCCUACGAUCAGUAACUGGUGUGAGAGCACGACCAGUCACACGGGCACUGAGACACGGGCCCGACUCCUACGGGAGGCAGCAGUAAGGAAUAUUGGUCAAUGGACGCAAGUCUGAACCAGCCAUGCCGCGUGGAGGAUGACUGCCCUCUGGGUUGUAAACUCCUUUUAUCUGGGAAGAAAUGCAUUUUUCUAAAGUGUUUGACGGUACCAGAGGAAUAAGCACCGGCUAACUCCGUG